RNAcentral lists this ribosomal RNA (402 nucleotides) under uncultured bacterium. Its description in RNAcentral is "bacterial SSU rRNA". It matches the Rfam family "Bacterial small subunit ribosomal RNA", at positions 357 to 776 of the family's 1533-position model. The record is from RNAcentral.
GGGAAUAUUGCACAAUGGGGGAAACCCUGAUGCAGCGAUGCCGCGUGGAGGAAGAAGGUUUUCGGAUUGUAAACUCCUUUUAUCAGGGACGAUAAUGACGGUACCUGAAGAAAAAGCUCCGGCUAACUACGUGCCAGCAGCCGCGGUAAUACGUAGGGAGCAAGCGUUAUCCGGAUUUAUUUGGUGUAAAGGGUGCGUAGACGGGAAGGCAAGUUGGUUGUGAAAUCCCUCGGCUUAACUGAGGAACUGCAACCAAAACUAUCUUUCUUGAGUGCUGGAGAGGAAAGUGGAAUUCCUAGUGUAGCGGUGAAAUGCGUAGAUAUUAGGAGGAACACCAGUGGCGAAGGCGACUUUCUGGACAGUAACUGACGUUGAGGCACGAAAGUGUGGGGAGCAAACAGG